GAUGAACGCUAGCUACAGGCUCAACACAUGCAAGUCGAGGGGCAGCAUGGUCUUAGCUUGCUAAGGCCGAUGGCGACCGGCGCACGGGUGAGUAACACGUAUCCAACCUGCCGUCUACUCUUGGACAGCCUUCUGAAAGGAAGAUUAAUACAAGAUGGCAUCAUGAGUCCGCAUGUUCACAUGAUUAAAGGUAUUCCGGUAGACGAUGGGGAUGCGUUCCAUUAGAUAGUAGGCGGGGUAACGGCCCACCUAGUCUUCGAUGGAUAGGGGUUCUGAGAGGAAGGUCCCCCACAUUGGAACUGAGACACGGUCCAAACUCCUACGGGAGGCAGCAGUGAGGAAUAUUGGUCAAUGGGCGAGAGCCUGAACCAGCCAAGUAGCGUGAAGGAUGACUGCCCUAUGGGUUGUAAACUUCUUUUAUAAAGGAAUAAAGUCGGGUAUGGAUACCCGUUUGCAUGUACUUUAUGAAUAAGGAUCGGCUAACUCCGU
Molecule: ribosomal RNA, 489 nt
Filed under: uncultured bacterium
Lineage: Bacteria
Description: partial 16S ribosomal RNA
Rfam family: Bacterial small subunit ribosomal RNA
Source: RNAcentral